Non-coding RNA from Dermacentor andersoni, 596 nucleotides. Lineage: Eukaryota; Metazoa; Arthropoda; Arachnida; Ixodida; Ixodidae. The record is from RefSeq and is a predicted model, not a curated record.
UGGCGGCCACCCAGAUUCCGCGCUGUCUGAGCCUUUUAUCCCGACGGCAAGGAAAGUUCCCGAGGCAAGGUCUGGAGGGUCAACUUAUCCUGUGAAAGCCACUUGUGAGACCCGCAUUGCCGUAGACUCAACUUAUUUUGACUCAUUUCGUAGGGAUGAACGGAAACUUGCCCAGUACAUGGCCGUACUGGUAGCCUUUGCGAACCUCAAGUUCCUGACUUUCCAAGAAAAUAUAUUAAGUUUUCAGCUGAGUGUAACAGGAAUUGUCAUUUUUUCGGCUUGACUUGGCCACGAGUUACGGUCCAGGAAGACCUGUUGGCAAAAGUAUGGUAGGGCUGGCGUUAGUCGGAACUGCUUGCGGCGAUUACAAGGCGGCGAUCGUGGAAGACAUGCCACGCACGUUCAGCAGCGCGCACACUAUGGCCCACGAGAUUGGACACCUCGUAGGCUCGGUGCACGAUGGCUCUGAGAAUGCCGAGAGUUCGGUCGACCCGAGGACUUGUCCGGCGGCUGAUAAAAAGAUGAUGUCACCAAGCCUUGGCCGGAACAUGUGGCACAUGUUCUCCUACUGCAGCACCGUACAAGUAGCAGAGUUU